GACAUACCACUUGUUGCCUCGGCGGAUCAGCCCGCUCCCGGUAAAACGGGACGGCCCGCCAGAGGACCCCUAAACUCUGUUUCUAUAUGUAACUUCUGAGUAAAACCAUAAAUAAAUCAAAACUUUCAACAACGGAUCUCUUGGUUCUGGCAUCGAUGAAGAACGCAGCAAAAUGCGAUAAGUAAUGUGAAUUGCAGAAUUCAGUGAAUCAUCGAAUCUUUGAACGCACAUUGCGCCCGCCAGUAUUCUGGCGGGCAUGCCUGUUCGAGCGUCAUUUCAACCCUCAAGCACAGCUUGGUGUUGGGACUCGCGUUAAUUCGCGUUCCUCAAAUUGAUUGGCGGUCACGUCGAGCUUCCAUAGCGUAGUAGUAAAACCCUCGUUACUGGUAAUCGUCGCGGCCACGCCGUUAAACCCCAACUUCUGAAUGUUGACCUCGGAUCAGGUAGGAAUACCCGCUGAACUUAAGCAUAUCAAU
This 476-nucleotide ribosomal RNA is filed under the name Fusarium sp. Y189. RNAcentral's name for it is "eukaryotic LSU rRNA". The stretch from base 121 to 274 matches the Rfam family "5.8S ribosomal RNA". The record is from RNAcentral. Lineage: Eukaryota; Fungi; Ascomycota; Sordariomycetes; Hypocreales; Nectriaceae.